Long non-coding RNA from Mytilus californianus (California mussel), 719 nucleotides. RefSeq lists it as uncharacterized. NCBI's taxonomy places the organism in Eukaryota, Metazoa, Mollusca, Bivalvia, Mytilida, Mytilidae. The transcript has 3 exons. The record is from RefSeq and is a predicted model, not a curated record.
CAGUGCUAGACUUCACCUUUCAGAGAUACACUGAAAGUUGUCAAAUAUGUUUCUAACCGUACUGGUUUUCCACAUGUUCAAUACAAAUUGUUAUGGCAAGUCUGAAAAACCUUGUUCUUUAAAAUAUCAUUUAAUCAACCAGAUUGAAAGGAACUUGGUGGAACUGAAGUCUUUGCAUGUUCAAACACCCGAGAAUAGCGGACAUCAAGCUGAAACGUAUAUCAGAUGGGGAAAGUCCAGUUGCCCACAGGAAGCAACACUGGUUUAUGAUGGUUAUGCUGCCGGUAAUGAUUAUAGAAUUGCAGGGUCAGGUUCAAAUUUCCUGUGCCUACCAAAGACUCCGGAUUGGAAAGAAUAUACAAGCGGAGCGAAUCAAGGAUCAGGUCGUAUAUUUGGCGUUGAAUAUGAAGUAUUAAAUCAUAAACCUUAUCCAAAGAGUUUUCACAAUCAAGACAUGCCAUGUGCUAUGUGUUUAACAGCUAAAUCUACUGUUCUGAUGGUUCCAGGAAAACUAACAUGUCAUGAAAGCUGGCAUAAAGAAUUUUCGGGUUAUUUGAUGUCGGCAAUGAGCAAUUAAAAUCCGUACAACGUCGGAAUACAUAUGCGUAGACGAGAAGUUAGAGUCCGUUCCAGGUAGCAACGCUGAUCAUGAUAAAUCCAUCGUUUACCCAGCAGAAGCUGUUUGUGGUAAUUUAAAAUGUCCACCAUAUGUUGGUGGU